Molecule: ribosomal RNA, 496 nt
Filed under: uncultured bacterium
Lineage: Bacteria
Description: partial 16S ribosomal RNA
Rfam family: Bacterial small subunit ribosomal RNA
Source: RNAcentral
GAUGAACGCUGGCGGCGUGCCUAAUACAUGCAAGUCGAGCGAACAGACGAGGAGCUUGCUCCUCUGACGUUAGCGGCGGACGGGUGAGUAACACGUGGAUAACCUACCUAUAAGACUGGGAUAACUUCGGGAAACCGGAGCUAAUACCGGAUAAUAUAUUGAACCGCAUGGUUCAAUAGUGAAAGACGGUUUUGCUGUCACUUAUAGAUGGAUCCGCGCCGCAUUAGCUAGUUGGUAAGGUAACGGCUUACCAAGGCAACGAUGCGUAGCCGACCUGAGAGGGGGAUCGGCCACCCUGGAAUGGAGACACGGCCCAGCUCCCUACGGGAGGCAGCAGUAGGGAAUCUUCCGCAAUGGGCGAAAGCUUGACGGAGCAACCCCGCGGGAGUGAUGAAGGUCUUCGGAUCGUAAAACUCUGUUAUUAGGGAAAAACAAAUGUGUAAGUAACGAUGCACGUCUUGACGGUACCUAAUCAGAAAGCCACGGCUAACUACGU